UGUGUUGCUGCUAGGGAGUAAGGCAGGCAUAGGGUGGGAACUGCAGCCCUUCAGAUGUUACUAGUCUGCAGUAACCGCUGUCAGUAAGAGUUGGUCAUGCUGACUGUGGGAUGAUGGGAUUUGGAGUCCAACAUCUGGAGGACUAUUGUUUUCCUGCUCCUGGACUAAGAGAACCUAGUGGCACCUUGAGAGUGGUUUUACUUCUAGUAAAGUAAUCCCUGAGUACAGAAUUGCCUUGGCAGGAGACAGCCAAAUGCCUUUUGCCCUAGUUGCCAAAGUUCAGUUACGAUAAUGACUGCACUGUUACCCAAGUUCCUGGGGAUGGUUUAUGCCCUUGGUGAAAGGGCAUAUGCUAGAAUUUAGAAACAUAAGCUACUGUCAAAUGGGACUAUGUAGUAAAAGUUACCUGUGUAAUAAAUAUUUCACCUAUGUCUUAAAAAAGCCCUGACAUUGUUAUAGAACAGUGUACUUGCAACUUCAUAUUAGUUAAUGGUGUAAUAUAUGCAUGUUCAUUUUCUGUUUAACAAAAAAGCUGUGAUAAUUUAUAAAUAUUUCCAGCAGUGUUCACAAAAAUGUAAAUAAAUAAAAACCCAUAAAGAUUUCACUAAAGAAAAAAGUUGAAUGGCUUUUCAAGAAUAAAAUGUUUCAUGAUAUCUUGAGGAAAAUACAGAUUUCCUUUCCCCCUCAGGAAGAAGCUUUCAAAAUUGAUAAGAUAUUUGGAGUUGCUUAUAUCUUUCGGUACUGGUUCUAAAUGUUGAUGUGGGAUAUCUUCCCAAUGUUUUAUAUUGUUAUAUAUAUAUUUGUGUGUGUGUGUGUGUGUGUGCGCGCGCGCACAUGCACAAAGAUCACAUGGAAAUGUAGAUAAGAAGCAAGCUGAUCAUAGUCCUUCUUUAAACUCCAAAUACACUUCCUUCACUUAAGCCAUAUAUCUUUGAUUCCAUACUAAGCAUGACAUUCAGUUUUCAGGAAAUCAAUACUACAUCCUUUCCCUAAGCCAGAAUGCCUCUCUCAUUCAUCUUACAUACUGUGUUAUAACUAGACAUAUUUCCCACAGGCACAUUCUUCAAACACUUGCCUCCUCCUCUCUGCCCCCAUGACUGACAGCCUAGCACGCUAUCUCAGAGAAUAGUCAUCAUACCUGAACAAAAUUUGUACCUUUUCCAUGGUGCCAUGUUAUACAGGGUCAGGCUGCCCUUUGAGCAUUGGCAGAGCAGAUUAGGGCAAAUGGGAAUUGCUCAGUGCUAUACACAAGCUGCUGUCUGUGAAAUUAGGAAAAUGCAAGAAGUGUUGUGAUUAAUAGGCAGAUUUGGGAACUUUGAAGCAGGGCAGCCUGUAGAUUUAUCACAGCGCUGAUACCAUUGGCAGUGUUUUAACUCUCGGCUGCAGCUGUGUUGAAUUAUUCAUUAUAGUAUUUUAAAAAAAACAAUGAGGCUUCAGAGGGCAAAGCUGUAGGAUCUAUUUGAAAGCUGAAAUGGAAGAUCAUGUAAUUAAAAAUAAUUAUUAAACUUCAUUUAUCCAGCUAGUUGUAGUUCUCUCUCCCCUCAGAUACGGUCAUCAUUAAAAUUAUUGCUUUUCUUGUUUUGUUUUUUUAAAUCUCUUUCUGUCCAGUGAGGGGAGAAGAAUAUUGUGUUUAAAUUAGAGAAGCUAUCGUGUUUGCUUUAGACAGUUCGGAGAGCAUUUUCAUCUUGAUGUCCUGCAAAGGCAGUUGACUGGUGUGAAUAAUGACCUAGCUCAUGGAAGUUGGCUCCAAAUAAUAUAAGCAAAAACAGAAAGCUAUCUGUUUUGUGCAAGCUUGUCUUUUAGAUGAACCUCUCAGAAUUGCUCUAGAUUUUGUAAUAACUUGGAUAUGUAAAGAUAGAUUUUUGUCAAUACAGAGAGAGUGGUCUCUGUAGAAAAAGACACAAACAGGGAUCAAGUUUAGCUCUUUACAUGCAAAAUUGCUUUGGCUCAUUCUCAAUAAUAAUACUCAGUUAUGUUCAUACUAUCUUGCGUGAAAACUCUCGUGUUUCAUGUGCAGGCACAAUCAUAAGAGUGGGCAGGAAAGCCAACCACUCUUUGUUAAGUUGUCAUUAAAUCUCACAACACUGUUCAUAAGACUCCUUCCAUACUUUGUGGUCUGAAAGUACGGUGGUACCUCAGGUUACAUAUGCUUCAGGUUACAUACGCUUCAGGUUACAGACUCCGCUAACCCAGAAAUAGUACCUCGGGUUAAGAACUUUGCUUCAGGAUGAGAACAGCAAUCAUGCUCCGGCAGCGCGGCGGCAGCAGGAGGCCCCAUUAGCUAAAGUGGUGCUUCAGGUUAAGAACAGUUUCAGGUUAAGAACGGACCUCCGGAACGAAUUAAGUACUUAACCCGAGGUACCACUGUAUCUUCUAAGUACAAAGGAACUUGGCCACACAGCAGCAUGCUUUCUGAACCAAUAGAUCUGUAAUGUAUUCUAGCUCAAUUCCCUGCAGUGGCAGGAUAUCUAGAUGUGCAGCAUAAUCCUAAACAUAUUUACUUGAAAGUAAGUCCUGACAUCUCAAGCUUGCAGGGUUGGUGACUUCAUUUUUAAGCACAUUUACUUUAAGAUAAGUCACCUCCUCUUAUGUGCAACUACAGGGCUUUGGGGGGAAAGUUUCCAUUAGUGUCACGGGAUAUUUUUCCCAAGCUUUGUAUCCACACAGGGGGAUAGGCUUCUUGUCCGCAUCACAGCUGGGCGGGGGGGGGGGGAAUAAACCUCACUUCCUCAUACACUGCAGUCCUGAUAAGAACUGAGGCUAUGGCACCUGUAAUUCAUUAAAGGGAAACCAAAGUUGUAGCUGCACACGAUGCAUUUAAUACAAUCUGUUUGGCCCUGAGUGUACAGACAGGCCUGCGAGAAGGUAGCUGAUCCUUGAUUCGAAGACCUGAAGGGCUUUAUGGAUCAAAACUAAAGACAAGCCAAAACUCCCCACCCCACUUUUGUGGUACCAUUCAUCUCCUGAAAAAGUUAAGGGAUUUUCAGCUAUGUUUGGAAUUUCUGAAUAGUCUUCAAAGACAGCUCCAUGUAAAACAUAUUGCAUUAGUCUAAUCUGGAAUUUAUCAGAGUGUGCAUUAGUGAAUUGCAGACUUAAUCCAUCCCUUCCACAUUUAUAAUCAGUCUUCUAGAAGCUUUAAGAGGCAACUGACUGAACAUCUAUAAGGGGUG
RNAcentral lists this long non-coding RNA (3170 nucleotides) under Podarcis lilfordi (Lilford's wall lizard). Lineage: Eukaryota; Metazoa; Chordata; Lepidosauria; Squamata; Lacertidae. The record is from RNAcentral.